CCUACGGGGUGCAGCAGUGAGGAAUAUUGGUCAAUGGGCGCGAGCCUGAACCAGCCAAGUAGCGUGCAGGAUUACUGCCCUACGGGUUGUAAACUUCUUUUAUAAAGGAAUAAAGUGAGGCACGUGUGCCUUUUUGUAUGUACUUUAUGAAUAAGGAUCGGCUAACUACGUGCCAGCAGCCGCGGUAAUACGGAGGAUCCGAGCGUUAUCCGGAUUUAUUGGGUUUAAAGGGAGCGUAGAUGGGUGGUUAAGUCAGUUGUGAACUUUUGCGGCUCAACCGUAAAAUUGCAAUUGAUACUGGCAGUUUUGAGUACAUUUGAGGUAGGCGGAAUUCGUGGUGUAGCGGUGAAAUGCUUAGAUAUCACGAAGAACCCCGAUUGCGAAGGCAGCUUACUAAACUGUGACUGACAUUGAUGCUCGAAAGUGUGGGUAUCAAACAGGAUUAGAUACCCUGGUAGUC
RNAcentral lists this ribosomal RNA (460 nucleotides) under uncultured bacterium. RNAcentral's name for it is "partial 16S ribosomal RNA". It matches the Rfam family "Bacterial small subunit ribosomal RNA", at positions 338 to 795 of the family's 1533-position model. The record is from RNAcentral.